Molecule: ribosomal RNA, 484 nt
Filed under: uncultured bacterium
Lineage: Bacteria
Description: partial 16S ribosomal RNA
Rfam family: Bacterial small subunit ribosomal RNA
Source: RNAcentral
ACUCAAAUGAAUUGACGGGGACCCGCACAAGCGGUGGAGCGUGUUGUUUAAUUCGAUGGUAAGCGAAGAACCUUACCCAGGCUUGACAUCCUUGGAAGGCAUCCGAAAGGAUACUGUGCCCUCGGGAACCAAGUGACAGGUGUUGCAUGGCCGUCGUCAGCUCGUGUCGUGAGAUGUUUGGUUAAGUCCAUCAACGAGCGCAACCCUUUUGGUCUGUUGUAUUUUUCAGGCCAGACUGCCCCGGUAACGGGGAGGAAGGAGGGGAUGAUGUCAGGUCAGUAUUACCCUUACGUCUGGGGCUACAAACACGCUACAAUGGCCGGUACAAAGGGCAGCCAAGUCGCGAGACGGAGCAAAUCCCAUCAAAGCCGGUCCAAGUUCGGAUUGCAGGCUGAAACUCGCCUGCAUGAAGCUGGAAUCGCUAGUAAAGGUAGGUCAGCACACUACCUUGAAUACGUUCCCGGGUCUUGUACACACCGCCCGU